This 2923-nucleotide ribosomal RNA is filed under the name Klebsiella pneumoniae. Its description in RNAcentral is "bacterial LSU rRNA". It matches the Rfam family "Bacterial large subunit ribosomal RNA". Lineage: Bacteria; Pseudomonadati; Pseudomonadota; Gammaproteobacteria; Enterobacterales; Enterobacteriaceae. The record is from RNAcentral.
GGGUUGUGAGGUUAAGCGACUAAGCGUACACGGUGGAUGCCCUGGCAGUCAGAGGCGAUGAAGGACGUGCUAAUCUGCGAAAAGCGUCGGUAAGGUGAUAUGAACCGUUAUAACCGGCGAUGUCCGAAUGGGGAAACCCAGUGUGAUUCGUCACACUAUCGUUAACUGAAUACAUAGGUUAACGAGGCGAACCGGGGGAACUGAAACAUCUAAGUACCCCGAGGAAAAGAAAUCAACCGAGAUUCCCCCAGUAGCGGCGAGCGAACGGGGAGCAGCCCAGAGUCUGAAUCAGCUUGUGUGUUAGUGGAACGGUCUGGAAAGUCCGACGGUACAGGGUGAUAGUCCCGUACACCAAAAUGCACAGGUUGUGAACUCGAAGAGUAGGGCGGGACACGUGGUAUCCUGUCUGAAUAUGGGGGGACCAUCCUCCAAGGCUAAAUACUCCUGACUGACCGAUAGUGAACCAGUACCGUGAGGGAAAGGCGAAAAGAACCCCGGCGAGGGGAGUGAAAAAGAACCUGAAACCGUGUACGUACAAGCAGUGGGAGCACCUUCGGGUGUGACUGCGUACCUUUUGUAUAAUGGGUCAGCGACUUAUAUUCUGUAGCAAGGUUAACCGUAUAGGGGAGCCGCAGGGAAACCGAGUCUUAACUGGGCGUUAAGUUGCAGGGUAUAGACCCGAAACCCGGUGAUCUAGCCAUGGGCAGGUUGAAGGUUGGGUAACACUAACUGGAGGACCGAACCGACUAAUGUUGAAAAAUUAGCGGAUGACUUGUGGCUGGGGGUGAAAGGCCAAUCAAACCGGGAGAUAGCUGGUUCUCCCCGAAAGCUAUUUAGGUAGCGCCUCGUGAAUUCAUCUUCGGGGGUAGAGCACUGUUUCGGCUAGGGGGUCAUCCCGACUUACCAACCCGAUGCAAACUACGAAUACCGAAGAAUGUUAUCACGGGAGACACACGGCGGGUGCUAACGUCCGUCGUGAAGAGGGAAACAACCCAGACCGCCAGCUAAGGUCCCAAAGUCAUGGUUAAGUGGGAAACGAUGUGGGAAGGCACAGACAGCCAGGAUGUUGGCUUAGAAGCAGCCAUCAUUUAAAGAAAGCGUAAUAGCUCACUGGUCGAGUCGGCCUGCGCGGAAGAUGUAACGGGGCUAAACCAUGCACCGAAGCUGCGGCAGCGACACUAUGUGUUGUUGGGUAGGGGAGCGUUCUGUAAGCCUGCGAAGGUGUGCUGUGAGGCAUGCUGGAGGUAUCAGAAGUGCGAAUGCUGACAUAAGUAACGAUAAAGCGGGUGAAAAGCCCGCUCGCCGGAAGACCAAGGGUUCCUGUCCAACGUUAAUCGGGGCAGGGUGAGUCGACCCCUAAGGCGAGGCCGAAAGGCGUAGUCGAUGGGAAACAGGUUAAUAUUCCUGUACUUGGUGUUACUGCGAAGGGGGGACGGAGAAGGCUAUGUUAGCCGGGCGACGGUUGUCCCGGUUUAAGCAUGUAGGCUGGUUGUCCAGGCAAAUCCGGAUAAUCAAGGCUGAGGUGUGAUGACGAGGCACUACGGUGCUGAAGUAACAAAUGCCCUGCUUCCAGGAAAAGCCUCUAAGCAUCAGGUAACAUCAAAUCGUACCCCAAACCGACACAGGUGGUCAGGUAGAGAAUACCAAGGCGCUUGAGAGAACUCGGGUGAAGGAACUAGGCAAAAUGGUGCCGUAACUUCGGGAGAAGGCACGCUGGUGUGUAGGUGAAGUCCCUGCGGAUGGAGCUGAGACCAGUCGAAGAUACCAGCUGGCUGCAACUGUUUAUUAAAAACACAGCACUGUGCAAACACGAAAGUGGACGUAUACGGUGUGACGCCUGCCCGGUGCCGGAAGGUUAAUUGAUGGGGUUAUCCGUAAGGAGAAGCUCUUGAUCGAAGCCCCGGUAAACGGCGGCCGUAACUAUAACGGUCCUAAGGUAGCGAAAUUCCUUGUCGGGUAAGUUCCGACCUGCACGAAUGGCGUAAUGAUGGCCAGGCUGUCUCCACCCGAGACUCAGUGAAAUUGAACUCGCUGUGAAGAUGCAGUGUACCCGCGGCAAGACGGAAAGACCCCGUGAACCUUUACUAUAGCUUGACACUGAACAUUGAGCCUUGAUGUGUAGGAUAGGUGGGAGGCUUUGAAGCGUGGACGCCAGUCUGCGUGGAGCCAACCUUGAAAUACCACCCUUUAAUGUUUGAUGUUCUAACGUUGGCCCCUUACCGGGGUUGCGGACAGUGUCUGGUGGGUAGUUUGACUGGGGCGGUCUCCUCCCAAAGCGUAACGGAGGAGCACGAAGGUUAGCUAAUCCUGGUCGGACAUCAGGAGGUUAGUGCAAUGGCAUAAGCUAGCUUGACUGCGAGCGUGACGGCGCGAGCAGGUGCGAAAGCAGGUCAUAGUGAUCCGGUGGUUCUGAAUGGAAGGGCCAUCGCUCAACGGAUAAAAGGUACUCCGGGGAUAACAGGCUGAUACCGCCCAAGAGUUCAUAUCGACGGCGGUGUUUGGCACCUCGAUGUCGGCUCAUCACAUCCUGGGGCUGAAGUAGGUCCCAAGGGUAUGGCUGUUCGCCAUUUAAAGUGGUACGCGAGCUGGGUUUAGAACGUCGUGAGACAGUUCGGUCCCUAUCUGCCGUGGGCGCUGGAGAAUUGAGGGGGGCUGCUCCUAGUACGAGAGGACCGGAGUGGACGCAUCACUGGUGUUCGGGUUGUCAUGCCAAUGGCACUGCCCGGUAGCUAAAUGCGGAAGAGAUAAGUGCUGAAAGCAUCUAAGCACGAAACUUGCCCCGAGAUGAGUUCUCCCUGAGACUUUAAGUCUCCUGAAGGAACGUUAAAGACGAUGACGUUGAUAGGCCGGGUGUGUAAGCGCAGCGAUGCGUUGAGCUAACCGGUACUAAUGAACCGUGAGGCUUAACCUUACAACGCCGAAG